UACGUAGGGGGCUAGCGUUGUCCGGAUUUAUUGGGCGUAAAGAGCGUGUAGGCGGCCACACAGGUCCGCUGUGAAAACUCGAGGCUCAACCUCGAGCUGUCGGUGGAAACCGUGUGGCUAGAGUCCGGAAGAGGAGACUGGAAUUCCCGGUGUAGCGGUGGAAUGCGCAGAUAUCGGGAGGAACACCCGUGGCGAAGGCGGGUCUCUGGGACGGUACUGACGCUGAGACGCGAAAGCGUGGGGAGCGAACAGG
Molecule: ribosomal RNA, 253 nt
Filed under: uncultured bacterium
Lineage: Bacteria
Description: partial 16S ribosomal RNA
Rfam family: Bacterial small subunit ribosomal RNA
Source: RNAcentral